UUGAAAGGAAAGGAUAAGCUACUCGAAUAGUUAGAUAAACGUAUGAAAGUGUUGCCAAAAUUACAAAAAUUUACAACGUUGGUAGACCCGUAAUUAAUGAUAUCAAAACAAAAACAUGUAAUUGAAAAUUAUCCAGGUGUUUCAGGAAGAAGCAGAAAAACUUUAAUGCACGUGAAAAAUAAUAAAAAGUAACAAAUCAGAGGUCCUUGUGCUGGAAAAUAGAAGAUUAUAGCGAAAGUGACGAUGCGGAACCUUUCUAUUGAAUUAUACGGAGAGUUCGUUCCGUUUUUCAGUUUCAGGCCAUACUGAAGAACGUGUUUUCUUCUUUACGUGCAUCGUUUUCAAUCAAUGUACGCACCAUUCCUUUCGAUAACUUUUCGCCUUCCGUGUGGUAAUUUCGUCAUGCCAUCGGUGCACAAGUGCUUAGUCUUCCGAGGAAAAGAAACGUUCCAGUUCGUUUUUCCAAAGAAUGAUAAGUUCUUGUCGUUGAGGUAGUUUUAUAACAAGCGAGACAAGCGAUAGUCUGAGCGUGCAAGAUCGUGAAAAUAUGUUACACGCGAUAAAAUAUCCUAUGCAAGUUGCGUCAUCAUUUUUGUCGUGUGCCGAUUGACGCAUUUGGUCUCGCGUUGCUUGGUGAACCAUGUUCGAAUUUGUGCCAGAUCGACAAGAAAUAAGUUGUUCCAAAAAUGUUCGUUUCACAUUCGACUGUUAAUUAAUCGACAAUACCAGGCUCGACCGAUUGAAUUGUGGUUAAGGAUCAUUGUCUAAACUCGGAUCCAUCUGGCUAAGAAAAACGGAACGAACUUUAUGUUCGGCCCAAUAUUUCUAACAAAUGUUUAUGGCGUUAGAAGCGUUAGUUUGAGGCAUAUACAGACUGUAACUCAACGUACUUCAAUUUAUUAACAAAAUUUGAUUU
Molecule: long non-coding RNA, 916 nt
Organism: Bombus terrestris (buff-tailed bumblebee)
Lineage: Eukaryota; Metazoa; Arthropoda; Insecta; Hymenoptera; Apidae
Exons: 2
Source: RefSeq, a predicted model, not a curated record